Molecule: non-coding RNA, 253 nt
Filed under: uncultured bacterium
Lineage: Bacteria
Also listed under: 1 other name
Description: partial 16S ribosomal RNA
Rfam family: Bacterial small subunit ribosomal RNA
Source: RNAcentral
UACGAAGGGACCUAGCGUAGUUCGGAAUUACUGGGCGUAAAGCGCGCGUAGGCCGUUGAGUUAGUUAAUUGUGAAAUCCCAAAGCUUAACUUUGGAACUGCAAUUAAAACUGCUCGACUAGAGUUUGAUAGAGGAAAGCGGAAUACAUAGUGUAGAGGUGAAAUUCGUAGAUAUUAUGUAGAACACCAGUUGCGAAGGCGGCUUUCUGGAUCAACACUGACGCUGAGGCGCGAAAGUAUGGGUAGCAAAGAGG